UUUUUGGAGAGUUUGAUCUUGGCUCAGGACGAACGCUGGCGGCGUGCCUAAUACAUGCAAGUCGAGCGCUGGAAGCUAAUUUCAUCCCUUCGGGAUGAAAUUAGUGGAAAGAGCGGCGGACGGGUGAGUAACACGUGGGCAACCUACCUAUAAGACUGGGAUAACUCGCGGAAACGUGAGCUAAUACCGGAUAAUACUUUUUAUUGCAUAGUAAGAAG
Molecule: ribosomal RNA, 218 nt
Filed under: Oceanobacillus caeni
Lineage: Bacteria; Bacillati; Bacillota; Bacilli; Caryophanales; Bacillaceae
Description: partial 16S ribosomal RNA
Rfam family: Bacterial small subunit ribosomal RNA
Source: RNAcentral